This is a long non-coding RNA of Sarcophilus harrisii (Tasmanian devil), 270 nucleotides long. RefSeq lists it as uncharacterized. The transcript has 2 exons. The record is from RefSeq and is a predicted model, not a curated record. NCBI's taxonomy places the organism in Eukaryota, Metazoa, Chordata, Mammalia, Dasyuromorphia, Dasyuridae.
GCGGGCUCGGGCGGGGCCGGGGCCUCCGCCUGAUCGCUCUCCGGGGGCGGGCUCCUGUAGACGGAGAGGUUCUCCGACUGAAUGGAUGGAACUGCCGUCCAAGGAGAAAGCCCAAGGGACUCCUGUCAACCAAUGGACAUAAUUCUCCACCAACAUCUGAUUACCUGGACAUCUAAGGCAACAAAAAACCCAAAUUCAGACACCUGAGUCAUGCUGUAAACUCUCCUACAUAUUAAUUCAUAAUCAAUAAACAAUAAACACAGAUUAUAA